This 491-nucleotide ribosomal RNA is filed under the name uncultured bacterium. Its description in RNAcentral is "partial 16S ribosomal RNA". It matches the Rfam family "Bacterial small subunit ribosomal RNA", at positions 30 to 507 of the family's 1533-position model. The record is from RNAcentral.
AUUGAACGCUGGCGGCAGGCCUAACACAUGCAAGUCGAGCGGUAACAGAGAGAAGCUUGCUUCUUUGCUUACGAGCGGCGGAGGUGUGAGUCAUGCCUAGGAAUCUGCCUAGUAGUGGGGGAUAACUUGCCGGAAGUGACGCUAAUACCGCAUACGUACUACGGGAGAACGGUGGGUACCUCCUGGCCUCUCUGUAAUAGAUGAGUCUAGGGCGGAUUAUGUAUUUGGUGGGGUAAUGUUUCACCAAGAGCACGAUCCGUAAUUGGUCUGAGAGGAUUGUCCGGCACACUGGAGAUGGGGACCCGUCCAGAAUCCUACGGGGAGCAGCAGUGGGGAAUAUUGCAAAAAGGGGGGGAAGCCUGAUGCAGCCAUGCCGCGUGUGUGAAGAAGGUCUUAGGAUUGUAAAGCACUUUAAGUUGGGAGGAAGAGCAGUUAACUAAUAUGUGCCUGUUUUGACGUUACCGAAAGAAUAAGCACCGGCUAACUUCGUG